CAUCCUUCUUAGGGACUGGUACAAUGUUGGCAACCCAUUCCGGGUACCGAGCGACAGCCAAAAACCCAGCGUCAAAUUGUUUCUUUACCUCUUCUUUUAUCUUCAAGGAUGUCUCGGGCUUCAUCCUUCUCAGUUUCUGCUUUACCGGGGGACACUCGGGAUUUAGGGGUAAUCGGUGUUGUACAAUGUCAGAACUCAAACCGGGCAUAUCUUGGUAGGACCAAGCAAAGAUGUCUUGGUAAUCUCUUAGCAGGGUUGUUAAUUCUUCACGGAUGGGCGUGGUCAUACCCGUUCCUAUCUUUACUUCCCUUUUUCCACUACCAGUUCCCAAGUCUACUAGUUCUGUCUCUUCUUGAUGAGGCCCCAUUUCUUGGUCCUC
RNAcentral lists this unclassified non-coding RNA (379 nucleotides) under uncultured bacterium. Its description in RNAcentral is "contains 16S-23S intergenic spacer region". The record is from RNAcentral.